GCUGGGAAUGGUGGCAUGUGCCUGUAGUAUAGCUUAUUCAGGAAGCUAAAGCAGGGGCAUGGCUUGAGUCUGGGAGUUCAGCGCAGCCUAGGUAACAUAGUGAAACCCUGUCUAAA
Molecule: small RNA, 116 nt
Filed under: Marmota monax (woodchuck)
Lineage: Eukaryota; Metazoa; Chordata; Mammalia; Rodentia; Sciuridae
Source: RNAcentral